This 105-nucleotide small nuclear RNA is filed under the name Procavia capensis (Cape rock hyrax). The record is from RNAcentral. Lineage: Eukaryota; Metazoa; Chordata; Mammalia; Hyracoidea; Procaviidae.
ACUCUCCUUGGCAGCAUAUGUGCUGAACCGGAACAAUACACAGCAGAUUAGCGCGGCCCCUGUGCUGAGGAUGACACCCAAAUUCGUGAAACUUUCCACAUUUUU